CCUACGGGCGGCUGCAGUGGGGAAUAUUGCACAAUGGGCGCAAGCCUGAUGCAGCCAUGCCGCGUGUGUGAAGAAGGCCUUCGGGUUGUAAAGCACUUUCAGCGGGGAGGAAGGCGGUGAGGUUAAUAACCUCAUCGAUUGACGUUACCCGCAGAAGAAGCACCGGCUAACUCCGUGCCAGCAGCCGCGGUAAUACGGAGGGUGCAAGCGUUAAUCGGAACUACUGGGCGUAAAGCGCACGCAGGCGGUCUGUCAAGUCGGAUGUGAAAUCCCCGGGCUCAACCUGGGAACUGCAUUCGAAACUGGCAGGCUAGAGUCUUGUAGAGGGGGGUAGAAUUCCAGGUGUAGCGGUGAAAUGCGUAGAGAUCUGGAGGAAUACCGGUGGCGAAGGCGGCCCCCUGGACAAAGACUGACGCUCAGGUGCGAAAGCGUGGGGAGCAAACAGGAUUAGAUACCCUAGUAGUC
This 465-nucleotide ribosomal RNA is filed under the name uncultured Klebsiella sp. Its description in RNAcentral is "bacterial SSU rRNA". It matches the Rfam family "Bacterial small subunit ribosomal RNA", at positions 338 to 795 of the family's 1533-position model. Lineage: Bacteria; Pseudomonadati; Pseudomonadota; Gammaproteobacteria; Enterobacterales; Enterobacteriaceae. The record is from RNAcentral.